RNAcentral lists this ribosomal RNA (787 nucleotides) under uncultured Pseudallescheria. RNAcentral's name for it is "eukaryotic LSU rRNA". It matches the Rfam family "Eukaryotic large subunit ribosomal RNA", at positions 1 to 793 of the family's 3401-position model. Lineage: Eukaryota; Fungi; Ascomycota; Sordariomycetes; Microascales; Microascaceae. The record is from RNAcentral.
GGACGUCGCGAGACCUAACAAAAGCACCAAAAAUAGGAAUUCCUUCCGGGCGAGUGCCCUCCCCGUCCCGAUAGCGCAGGAAAAGAAACCAACAGGGAUUGCCCUAGUAACGGCGAGUGAAGCGGCAACAGCUCAAAUUAGAAAUCUGGUCCUUCGGGGCCCGAGUUGUAAUUUGCAGAGGAUGCUUUUGGCGCGGUGCCUUCCGAGUGCCCUGGAACGGGACGCCACAGAGGGUGAGAGCCCCGUAUGGUUGGACACCAAGCCUAUGUAAAGCUCCUUCGACGAGUCGAGUAGUUUGGGAAUGCUGCUCAAAAUGGGAGGUAAACCCCUUCUAAGGCUAAAUACUGGCCAGAGACCGAUAGCGCACAAGUAGAGUGAUCGAAAGAUGAAAAGCACUUUGAAAAGAGAGUUAAAAAGCACGUGAAAUUGUUGAAAGGGAAGCGUUUGCGACCAGACUUGCGCCCGUCGAAUCAGCCGUCCCUCGUGGGCGGUGCACUUCGGCGGGCUCAGGCCUGCAUCAGUUUACUGCAGGGGGAGAAAGGCGCUGGGAAUGUGGCUCCUCGGAGUGUUAUAGCCCGGCGCGUAGUACCCCUCGGUGGACUGAGGACCGCGCGAAAGCAAGGAUGCUGGCGUAAUGGUCGUCAGCGACCCGUCUUGAAACACGGACCAAGGAGUCGUCCUAAUAUGCGAGUGUUUGGGUGUCAAACCCCAGCGCGUAAUGAAAGUGAACGGAGGUGAGAGCUUCGGCGCAUCAUCGACCGAUCCUGAUGUUCUCGGAUGGAUUUGA